Molecule: ribosomal RNA, 468 nt
Filed under: uncultured bacterium
Lineage: Bacteria
Description: partial 16S ribosomal RNA
Rfam family: Bacterial small subunit ribosomal RNA
Source: RNAcentral
GACGAACGCUGGCGGCGUGCUUAACACAUGCAAGUCGAACGGAAAGGCCCUGCUUUUGUGGGGUGCUCGAGUGGCGAACGGGUGAGUAACACGUGAGUAACCUGCCCUUGACUUUGGGAUAACUUCAGGAAACUGGGGCUAAUACCGGAUAGGAGCUCCUGCUGCUUGGUGGGGGUUGGAAAGUUUCGGCGGUUGGGGAUGGACUCGCGGCUUAUCAGCUUGUUGGUGGGGUAGUGGCUUACCAAGGCUUUGACGGGUAGCCGGCCUGAGAGGGUGACCGGCCACAUUGGGACUGAGAUACGGCCCAGACUCCUACGGGAGGCAGCAGUGGGGAAUAUUGCGCAAUGGGCGGAAGCCCGAUGCAGCAACGCCGCGUGCGGGAUGACGGCCUUCGGGUUGUAAACCGCUUUCGCCUGUGACGAAGCGUGAGUGACGGUAAUGGGUAAAGAAGCACCGGCUAACUACGUG